CUCGCAGGGCCAAGAUGCUGACAACCUGGGUGAAAACAUACCAUGUGCAGGGCACCUUCCUAAUAUUCUCCUUUCUGUGGCCUUCAUCCUGGAGAAACAGUUUUCUUCUGUGUGUAGCUCAGCAUCCUCAUGCAGGUAGAAUGAAAAUAAAUACAAAUGAGGAAACCAAAGAAGAAAAAUAGCAUCCAAAGAAAAAAUGAAUAUUUUGGACAUUCCAUUUCUUUAGAAAGAUGAUGUUGGUGUGUUGGGUUGACAGCGUUCCUGGUAAUCUAAGAAAGAACAGGGACAUGAUGUUGGAAACUAUUAGCCCUUCAACCAAGCAUUUUUUCUUUUCUGGCUCAGACUUUUUUGAGAACUGCUGUUUUUCCCUUCAGACUCUUUUUAUCUUUGCAUCAUUCCAAACCCUCAACCCAAUGCCCAUUGUAUAUGAGGAUCCUUACCAGCCAUGCAUGCUGUUUUGGUUUUUAAGUAAACACAGAUGAAGAGAGAAGAGAUUUUCAGAAUGGGUGAUUGAGCUUCUCCAUCCCCACAGAAAAUUUACAUUUUCCGCAUAUUACAGAGCCUGAGCAACCUAUAGGGCUAGGGGCAAAGACUAAGUUAAGUCCUUUAAAAUGUGAUAAUCUUAACAUUCAUUUUUGCCUCCUUUCAGGUUGGGCAGAAAAAAGGCCAGAGAUUGAGCUUUCUGAGGCUGUAAGCAGCUAAAUCCUAACAGGCAAGGAUAAGCCACCUUGGUUUAUAUCUCACUUACCAUGGGAUAAGAACAGACGCACACAACAGUUACUGUGGAGCACCUGGUGCACAAGUGCUCUGAAAAAACUGCAAAAAAAGCCCACCAUUAAACCUCCAUCGAAGAAAAGCAAGCCAGAGGUUCAAGGCAAAGGGGGAGUGCUUCAAAUACACAUUUUACGCUGCUAAAAAGAUCCACAGUACUGUGACCAAAAUCCCAUUAAAUGGAACAGUUUCUAUUUAAAUCUUCCCAUGACAUGUUUCUGAUAUUACCCUACAAGAGAGGCACAUAACUGUCAGGCUUAAAGACUGCUCCUCUUCUCUUCUUCCUUGAGUGGCUCUGCAGAUUCAGACUGUCACUUUCAGUUCAGACACUUAGGCUGAGUGCUAAACUUUUAGGUGGAAUGAGGCAGUACUUCACAUUGUGAAGGAAACUCUACCUAGUAAGCCUCACUUAGAGAGAAACUGGCUGCUUAAAUCCUAGCUCAAAAAGAGCAAGCCUUUAGGCCUCAAAACAUCAGCAUCCAAACAAGACCCAAAGCCUGAAUUCCAGAAGAUGGGGAAUGCAGGCAAUGUGACGUGCGGCCCCUGGAGGGGAAACUAUCAGAUUCACUUAGGUGUGUGAUCCUCCUUGAAUGACCUCCAGAAUACCAUUAUUGGUGGUCCACAGCUGGGAACCCACUGAAAUCAAUGUGGCUGCUCCUGAUUUUGAGGGCACAAUGUGGGGCUUGGCAGCCAUUUUGUAGGUGGAGUGCAGGAGCCCUCCCAUGCCUCUGAUUGGCCAAGGGGCCCUAGUGGCCCUGUCCCUCACUGCUGAUUGGCUGUGAGGGCUGUCUGUCAUAUGGCCCUGCCCCUUACCACUGCCUGUGAAGGCUGUCAUGGAGCCCCACCCCUUGCCCUUGCAGCCAAUCAGUGGUGAGGGGUGGAGACAGCAGCCAUCUUACUGGUAGCCCUUUGAGUGGGGAGACCCCGCCUCCCCCUUCGCCCCAGAGCACUGCUGCAGCACCCUGAACACUACUGGCGCCCUCUAAGGAGCAUUUUAUUUUCAGUAAGUUUUAGGGGGGGUUGGAUUUUGUGGGCAAUGCCAGAUUUCACAAAAUCUGUGAAAUUGCAGUUUCAGUAGGUCCCUAUUCUCCUCAGCUGGCAAAAACGUUUCUGGCAGCAUGGAAUUGUCCUACAGGGAAUGACCAGACAUGAUUCAAAUGAGAAGCUGUUGGUUGUUGCUGUUAUAAUCCUGUCCCCUUAGGCAUUUGAGGCAUGUUGUUCUGAAAUAUAUAUCACUAACCUCUUGUAUAUUUAUUCAGUGGAAAACAGCUGUAAAGUUAUAGAGGGAGUUAACUUUAAUUGAUAUAACUACAGUUAUCAUUCAUCCACAGUUACCACAUAAUGGUAUCUGGAUGCCAUUCUUAGUUCCCGUUCUAAACACUGACGUGUUGCAGCAACUUACACAAAUCAACAUGUAGUCAGUGUUCACAAAAAAUAACAAUUUUACCAUUUUGAAGUUGCUUCUGAAUUUCUCUUAACAGACUUUGAUUGUUUCAAUUCAGUUUGCAUUGGAAAAGUAAGUAUCCACAUCACAGAAACUACCAGCAGAACCGGCACCAUUGUUGAUAAUCUCAGCUGCACAAAUGAUCAUAGAAAAUCAACUUCCUCCUACCUUGAGAUGGUAUCUCCAUGUAAGGGUUUAGCCAUAUUGUCUGGGCAGUGCAGAGAAUUUUGUACUGUUCCUUACUGUUCUUUGGAUAAAUAUGACUCCAGCAUGCAGAACAAGAAAUAAAUUCAAUAUACAUGUAAAAGAAAGAAAUAGUAUUCUGAAAAGAGGAAAGCAUUGAGUGUGGCAUCUCUCAGGUAACUCUCAGGAAGUUUUUACUUCAAAUGUUUGCAGUAUUUUUUCUUGCAAUUAUUACUUCUUAUUGAAAAUCUUUUGUGUUUGUUUGUUUAAACAAGACCUUCUAGUCAGCCUGAUUGGUCCUCCAGUGAAAUCAUUAUGCUUGACAGAAAUUAUGUGACAGUGGGCACGUCUACAUGAGGAACUAUAUGCACAGGAGACUAAUUCUACUGAGCACAGCAAAAGCCAGGCUAUUGCACUAAUACUUAGUAGAAUUAGUCUAAGCAUUAGCAUCACUUAAAAGGUGUGUGCUGGCGCUACUGUGCAGAUACUAAACUUAAUGCGCAGUAAUCACAACACAUUAAUGAAUGUGUAGAUGUACCCACUAAUUACUAUACCAAGCCCAAUCAACUGAUGUCAGAAAUACUGCAUUGUGAUUGAUUAAGGAGAAAUAUAAGGUAAGGAAUGGGGAAGCUCCUAGGCUAGGGGCAGAAGUUACAGUUAAACUGGUUUAAGUCAUCAAAAACUGGUUUAAACUUGUAACAGAACAGAUGUUCAGUGUAUAUAAACCAGUUUCAAAAUGACUGAAACUCGUGUAAGAUAAACCUGGUUGAAUGUAGUAUGAGACUUAACUGAUUUGGGUCAAACUGGUUUAUGAAACUUCGGUCCCAGACCCUUUCCUGGUUCAAGUUAAAUCAAAGUCCCCUAGCAUCCCAGCAUGCUUUCCAGCCCUGGGCUGUGCUGUGCUGUCUGCUCCAACAGAGGAGAGUUGGGGUAUAGGGGAGGCAGGGAUGGGGUUAAACUUCCCUUCCCCUAAGUACAGAGCUGCCUUGCCCUGGUAAAAACUUACUGCUGGCUGCAACUGUGCACUACAAAUCCCAGAAGCACCUGGAAGCAGGAAAAGGAAGUGAUGAGCAACCCUGCAAAGCCCUGUCAAUAUGAUUCUGGGCUGCAAAUCCCAGAGACUUUGUGGGCAGCAGGAAGAGGACGCAAAUCCACAGCCCAUGCUGGCUACGUGCCAGAGAGCUGUGCUUUAGUGCCCCCAAGCUUCUGACUGCAGGCUUCUGGCCUGCAUUUCUGGAAUCAGAAGUGAAUGUCUGUCCAGUUGUUUCUUAGUUCAAUCUCUGCAGCUUAGACUAACCUGCAAAGACUGAAUUGAUUCAGCCUUGGGCUUUUUGACUGUCUUUACUUUGCCCAAAUGUUUCCAGUACUGGCCUGGGAACACUGAAAAUGCUUGACAUCAUGAAUAGCAUGUUGUAUAAAUGUAUCUUCCACGUUUUUUGCAUUGUAAGAGCCUCUCUCAAUGUGCAAUAUGCCACAAUAUAAAGCACACAGAGAACCAAAUGCUCUGUUCUAGUGAACAAAAGCUUGUCUCCUGCUGUUGCUUAAUACUGUAACUUUUAUUAGCAGCAAGUGACUGCAGUUUACAGCCUUCCUUCCUUUCUCUAGACGAUUACAUUCUUAAGCCGAUUGACUGUGUUGACUAAAGGCAGCAGUUGAUCCAUGCUCUUCCUUCUUGCACACAAUGCCGCAUGAAGGAAAGAAAUGCCAGAUUCAAUGUGUGGAGGAUAAGCUCAGAUUUUGAUUGCCUGAAUGGAGGUAAAAAAAAUGGUUGCUGUAUCUCGGGAUCCUGGAAUCCUUAAGGGAAUGACUUCUGUAUAUGUCUGAAAGAAAGAAAGGUUGCCAUGUGUUUGAUAGCCCAGACUGAGCAGUGCUCUCUUGGUCCUUUUUCCCUUGAUCACUUCCCUCAGAACCAUGCAUCAGACCAAGGGUCUUUAGUCACCAAAUUCCUGGAGGGAAAAUACAAGAAAGAAAAAUGAAGGAUGAUGAAUCAAAAUACAUCAUAUAACCUUUAAAAAGUGUUAAUACAUAAAAAUAAAUAAAUAAAUAAAAGCAUUUAUAAAACUAACCAGAAUUUUACCUGAAUUAGUUACCUCUUCUUCUACAACCACUGCUAUCUUAAUUGCCUCCCUCUAACCAAACAGAUGCUCUGCUCUGUAUUCAAUGUGUUUCAAGCAAUCAUCUUGUCUGCUUGAGUGCACAGUUGUACAAGACAUGGCUGGCUCCUCAAGUUUGAAACAGCCCAUGGAUAUACUUGGACUCAUGAACAAUCAUUUGAGCGCUCCUACAGCAUAUAGUGUUGGGAUAAAUUGUACCUUUCUGAUUCAUAUUCAGCAAAGAAUUUGCCCAGGGAAAUUAUCUGUUAAAAAGACAGCCAAUCCCUAGAAAAGCAAUUUGGCCUGCAUGUGAAUUUAUGUACAUGUGUACCCAGGAGGAAGAACUAUCUUAGAGGUGAUUAUGCCAGGCAGAUUACAGAAGUGAUUGUACUAUUUAUUUUUCAUUCAAGGAACAAUGCCUCUGAGAGACCUCUUUAUCUGGCACAAGUUAAUGAAGAAAACAGUGUCCUUUAGCAAAGAUUUCAGAGAGAAGUUUUCAGACUCAGUGUUUGUUACUUGACUGUAACACAGGGUAAAUAAGCAGGGGUUGUAACAGCCAGAAAUCUCUGGAGAUGGUGGUUUAGUGACAAGACUGCUACAGCUUUUGUACUUCAGUUGAGAAGCAAUUUGCUGCUGAACAGUACGUCCCAGAGGAAGUCUACAGAGCUAAUGAGACCUGUUUUACACACUGAUCCUAUACUCACAGCAAGUAGCAAAUGAAAAACAAUGGGAUAUGUACCACACAAAGACAGUGUUUCAUCUAGCCUUGAAGUAGCAAUCAGUCCAACCUACAACAUUCAGGCACAGGCCUCAGCAUUCACCCUCUUGGCAAAGGUGCACAGUGUUUGGUUCAGGGUCAUACAGUGCCAGUGCCUGACACUGGUGCAGUAUUGAACUCUGUGCAUGGGUUCUGCAUUAAGGCUGGGGGGAGCAUGUUAUUUGUACAUGCCUUUGUAAUUCUAGAAUUAAUUAGUUAUUUCACUACACCAUUUUGGUAUUUUAAAAUUAAUUUUAAACAGAGCACCUUGUACAUACCAAGCCUGUUCACACUAAUCAAAAGAGUUGCGGUAAGCAAUAGCUUUAAGUGUUCAAAUUUCUACCAUUUCUUUAUUAUCCUUUUCAGGUGGCAACUAAAUUGUUUAUACACUUAUUUUUCUUCCUUUUUCCUCCUGUAAAAAUAAAAAACAGAAAUAGAAAUGUAAUUUGUAGGAAGGGAAAACUCAAACCAAAUUAAAAAAAAUGAUUUGUGACAAAAGAGUACAUACCACUGUUUAGAGAGAGUUGUACCUGUUUCAAUUUUUGGUUUUCUCUGCCAGUAGGUGUCAUGAUACAGCAACCUGUGAAAUUUCUUAAUAUACUAGAGGGUUAAAUGGUUAAACAUACACUAUCAAUAAAUGAAUGCUAGCUAAAUUAUUAGUUGCUGGUGGUUAAAAUAGUGGUUAAUGAUGUUAAGCAUCCCAAAACAGGGAGUCUGUUGUCUGUGUGAUACAGUGUUACAUUAAAAACAGCUGUCACUACCCAACAAUUUUCUUUUUGAUGACUCUCAUACAGCUGUUUUUACGUGCACGAGGCACCUCACCUGCUAUUCAGUGGAACGCAAUAAUAAUGGGGUGAGCAAGAAAAUGAAGAGUGACAACAACCUAAAACCUCUCCUGAUGUACAGAAGGAUUGAAAACUGAUGAUAGAUGUAGCAUGUUUAUGUAAUAUUUAUUUAUCCAAUCCAUGUAGAUAUUUUUAACCUUGCCAUCACCACAGAAAAAAGUAUACGUAUAGCUAGAUCUGUUAAAAGUUAAAAUGACCUUGGUUUCAUCUUCUUGGCAAUAACUAUUGCUCCCAAAAACUUCAUUUCAAGUAAUACUAAUAAUACAAGUUUGGGGACUACAGUUGGUAUAUGUGUAAUGAGUCAGUUUCUGCUAUCCUGUAUAGCCCUGUUCAUUUUACUGAAAUGAGUAGGAUUGUGGGUAUAACUGAGAACAACUGGGGAGCAUAGGAAAAUAUGCACAUGCACACCUACAUUUACGUAAAGAAAUUACUAGCAAUUUAUAUCAUUUGGCACUUUUGUGUUCUGAAUAGGCAGUAAGCUUUCAGUGGGAACUGUGCCUUGCUGGUUUAAGUUAAAUCAGACUCCCCCAGCAUCCCGGCAUGCUUUCUGGGCUGGGCAGGGCUCUCUGCUCCACAGCAGGGCUGGCUCCUCCCCUCUGCUCCCUGGCUGCAGCUCUGGCAGAGACUUGCAAGCACAGCAGCAUCUGCCUGGCUUCCUCCUGCUCUCCCCCUCCCCUCACCACUCCCUGCAAGUAGGGAUCCCCUGUCCCCUCUGCCUUACACAGACACCUCAGCAUUAGCUAGUAGACCACAUGCUGUUUACAGUCUGUACUGUGGGAGACAGCAGUGUCGGCUUAGGGCUUUUUGGAGCUAAUCAGCAGCUCAG
Long non-coding RNA from Alligator mississippiensis (American alligator), 6919 nucleotides. RefSeq lists it as uncharacterized. NCBI's taxonomy places the organism in Eukaryota, Metazoa, Chordata, Crocodylia, Alligatoridae. The record is from RefSeq and is a predicted model, not a curated record. The transcript has 3 exons.